CAGCAGCAGCCACGGUAAUACAGAGGGUGCGAGCGUUAAUCGGAUUUACUGGGCGUAAAGCGUGCGUAGGCGGCUUUUUAAGUCGGAUGUGAAAUCCCUGAGCUUAACUUAGGAAUUGCAUUCGAUACUGGGAAGCUAGAGUAUGGGAGAGGAUGGUAGAAUUCCAGGUGUAGCGGUGAAAUGCGUAGAGAUCUGGAGGAAUACCGAUGGCGAAGGCAGCCAUCUGGCCUAAUACUGACGCUGAGGUACGAAAGCAUGGGGAGCAAACAGGAUUAGAUACCCGCGUAGUCCCUGUCUCUUAUAC
RNAcentral lists this ribosomal RNA (304 nucleotides) under uncultured bacterium. RNAcentral describes it as "partial 16S ribosomal RNA". It matches the Rfam family "Bacterial small subunit ribosomal RNA", at positions 506 to 807 of the family's 1533-position model. The record is from RNAcentral.